AUUUUUACUGCUGGCUAUAAGGCUGUCUUGCACAUUCAUUCUGUUGUGGAGGAAUGUGAGAUUGUUGAGCUAAUACAGCAAAUUGAUCCAAAGACAAAGAAACCCAUGAAAAAGAAAGUUCUCUUUGUGAAGAAUGGUGCUGUUGUUGUAUGCCGCGUUCAGGUGAAUAACUUGAUAUGCAUUGAGAAGUUCUCAGAUUUUCCGCAGCUUGGAAGGUUCACUCUUCGUACUGAAGGAAAAACUGUUGCAGUGGGGAAAGUGACUGAUCUUUGUGCCGCUUAACCAUUUUUGUUACUAGAGGCAAAGCUGAAUCAGCAGAACAACUUUUUUGCGUGUCUGAUCUGAUCGAUUGCAGCCGAAGGAGUUGAGAUAAUGACAUUUUUAUCAGCAAUCGAUAGAGAAAUUGUUUGGAUUCAGCUGUUGCAUUGCAAAGGUGUUGGUGUUGGUAUCAUAGUUAUGUUAUUGAAAUGGGGGCUUUAAUUGAUAGUUUUAAUGGGUGUAAAAUAUGUGCUGCUUCACCCAUUGCAAUUUUUACAACUUCAUUAUAGUUAUUAUAAUUGAUGAUAUUAAUGAUCAGUUUGUUUGAUUAAAGUUAGCUUUA
Long non-coding RNA from Pistacia vera, 601 nucleotides. RefSeq lists it as uncharacterized. Lineage: Eukaryota; Viridiplantae; Streptophyta; Magnoliopsida; Sapindales; Anacardiaceae. The transcript is spliced from 4 exons. The record is from RefSeq and is a predicted model, not a curated record.